Molecule: signal recognition particle RNA, 297 nt
Filed under: Saimiri boliviensis boliviensis (Bolivian squirrel monkey)
Lineage: Eukaryota; Metazoa; Chordata; Mammalia; Primates; Cebidae
Description: Metazoan signal recognition particle RNA (ENSSBOG00000007344.1)
Rfam family: Metazoan signal recognition particle RNA
About the family: The signal recognition particle (SRP) is a universally conserved ribonucleoprotein.
Source: Rfam by way of RNAcentral
GCCAGGCAGGGUGGUGAGCGCCUGUAGUCCCAGCUACUAGGAGGCUGAGGUGGGAGGAUUGCUUGAGCCCAGGAGCUCUGGGCUGUAGUGUGUUAUGUCGAUCAGGUGUUCACACUAAGUUCGGCAUCAAGAUGGUGACCUCCUGGGAGCCGGGGACCACCAGGUUGCCUAAGGAGGGGUGAACCACUCAGGUCAGAAACAGAGCAGGUCAAAACUCCUGUGCGGAUCAGUAGUGGGAUCGUGCCUGUGAAUUGCCACUGCACUCCAGCCUGGGCAACAUAGUGAGACCAGUCUCCU